ACCCAGUGUUCCCUUUAGAAAGACGUACAGCAUCCAGGGCAAGGAGCUGAAGGCACUGUGUGGCUGGCAGUGUGAAGGUGAAAGGCCCUCAGCGGCACACUGGGCACCUGGCAAGAGCCCUCCGCAGGGAAACAUCGUGCUGCUGUGCACAAAGGUAACCGACACCUCCCUUACCGCGGAGAAGAGGAGCGACUUUAGUAGUUCGCUGAGCAACUACUGCUGCUAGAGCCUGUGAGAUGGGCGCCGUGAAGGCUACAAACCUUAGAGCAGACCUAGGAAGACUGAGAAGCAACGCAUUCAAGAGUUGCACUGCAAGGCUGAAAGAGAGGUAGAGCUACAGAAAGGCAGAAGCAGAGAGAGAGAGGUCUUCCAUCCGCUGGCUCACUCCCCAAAUGACCGCAACAGCCGGAGCUGGGCUGAUCCGAAGCCAGGAGCCACUAGCCUCUUCCAGGCCUCUCACGAAAGUGCUGGGACCCAAGGACUUGAGUCAUCCUCUACUGCUUUCCCAGGCCACAGCAGAGAGCUGGAUUGGAAGUGGAACAGCAAGGACUCGAACCUGCGCCCAUAUGGGAUACCGGCACUGCAGGAGGCAGCUUUACCCAAUAUACCACAGCAGUGGCCCCCAGAUGUUGAUCAACAGGUAACCACAUAAAUAAAAGUGUUAGAAUACUUCUCAGUAAU
Lepus europaeus (European hare) is the source of this 681-nucleotide long non-coding RNA. RefSeq lists it as uncharacterized. The record is from RefSeq and is a predicted model, not a curated record. NCBI's taxonomy places the organism in Eukaryota, Metazoa, Chordata, Mammalia, Lagomorpha, Leporidae. The transcript is spliced from 3 exons.